RNAcentral lists this ribosomal RNA (506 nucleotides) under uncultured Paenibacillaceae bacterium. RNAcentral describes it as "bacterial SSU rRNA". It matches the Rfam family "Bacterial small subunit ribosomal RNA", at positions 383 to 880 of the family's 1533-position model. Lineage: Bacteria; Bacillati; Bacillota; Bacilli; Caryophanales; Paenibacillaceae. The record is from RNAcentral.
CUGACGGAGCAACGCCGCGUGAGUGAGGAAGGUUUUCGGAUCUGUAAAACUCUGUUGCCAGGGAAGAACGCCAGGGAGAGGAAAUGCUCUUUGGGUGACGGUACCUGAGAAGAAAGCCCCGGCUAACUACGUGCCAGCAGCCGCGGUAAUACGUAGGGGGCAAGCGUUGUCCGGAAUUAUUGGGCGUAAAGCGCGCGCAGGCGGCGACUUAAGUCUGGUGUUUAAGCCCGGGGCUCAACCCCGGUACGCACUGGAAACUGGGUGGCUGGAGUGCAGGAGAGGGGAGUGGAAUUCCACGUGUAGCGGUGAAAUGCGUAGAAAUGUGGAGGAACACCAGUGGCGAAGGCGACUCUCUGGCCUGUAACUGACGCUGAGGCGCGAAAGCGUGGGGAGCAAACAGGAUUAAAUACCCUGGUAGUCCACGCCGUAAACGAUGAAUGCUAGGUGUUAGGCGUUUCGAUACGCUUGGUGCCGAAGUUAACACAGUAAGCAUUCCGCCUGGGGAG